Molecule: ribosomal RNA, 400 nt
Filed under: uncultured bacterium
Lineage: Bacteria
Description: bacterial SSU rRNA
Rfam family: Bacterial small subunit ribosomal RNA
Source: RNAcentral
GAAUAUUGCACAAUGGGGGAAACCCUGAUGCAGCAACGCCGCGUGAGUGAUGACGGCCUUCGGGUUGUAAAGCUCUGUCUUCAGGGACGAUAAUGACGGUACCUGAGGAGGAAGCCACGGCUAACUACGUGCCAGCAGCCGCGGUAAUACGUAGGUGGCAAGCGUUGUCCGGAUUUACUGGGCGUAAAGGGAGCGUAGGCGGACUUUUAAGUGGGAUGUGAAAUACCCGGGCUUAACCUGGGUGCUGCAUUCCAAACUGGGAGUCUAGAGUGCAGGAGGGGAAAGUGGAAUUCCUAGUGUAGCGGUGAAAUGCGUAGAGAUUAGGAAGAACACCAGUGGCGAAGGCGACUUUCUGGACUGUAACUGACGCUGAGGCUCGAAAGCGUGGGGAGCGAACAGG